Molecule: ribosomal RNA, 253 nt
Filed under: uncultured bacterium
Lineage: Bacteria
Description: partial 16S ribosomal RNA
Rfam family: Bacterial small subunit ribosomal RNA
Source: RNAcentral
UACGUGGGGGGGAAGCGUUGUUCGGAAUUACUGGGCGUAAAGGGCUCGUAGGCGGCCAACUAAGUCAGACGUGAAAUCCCUCAGCUUAACUGGGGAACUGCGUGUGAUACUGGAUGGCUUGGAUUUGGGAGAGGGAUGCGGAAUUCCAGGUGUAGCGGUGAAAUGCGUAGAUAUCUGGAGGAACACCGGUGGCGAAGGCGGUACCCUGGACAGAUAUUGACGCUGAGGAGCGAAAGCCAGGGGAGCAAACGGG